This 138-nucleotide ribosomal RNA is filed under the name uncultured eukaryote. RNAcentral's name for it is "partial 18S ribosomal RNA". It matches the Rfam family "Eukaryotic small subunit ribosomal RNA", at positions 1299 to 1458 of the family's 1831-position model. The record is from RNAcentral.
UGGUGGAGUGAUUUGUCUGCUUAAUUGCGAUAACGAACGAGACCUUAACCUGCUAAAUAGCCAGGCUAGCUUUGGCUGGUCGCCGGCUUCUUAGAGGGACUGUCAGUGUCUAACUGACGGAAGUUUGAGGCAAUAACA